GAUCUCAACUUGCAGUAACUAUGUUUGACCAGCAGGAGGCAUGUGUGUACCGCCAAGCAGAGUCCAGCUGCCGGGAUGGUCCCCUGGUCCCAAAUUGAUUCUGUGAAUUCUAAAUGGCUCUCAAACAAGUUUAGAACAGGUGGGAUUUUGUUUUAAAAAGGAGGAGGAAACGCAAAUAGCAGGGACCUGCAGAGCUGGAAGUGCGGGGAACUGAGCGAUCACCACAGCAGAUACACACAGUGGGACUGCGCGGGCCGAGCGGUUAAGCCGCAGUGACGGCUGGGAUAAGUGGUGAAGCCACCGCUCCAUGGGGACCGAGCGCGGUCGCAACUAAACCCCGGUACAAGCGGUCUUCAGGGCUAGUUGGGCGACAGGGGGAGGGAGACACACAACCCCAGGCCACGAGACUCAGUAUAGUAAACAGGUUUAUUCGGGGAGAAAUCGCUUACACGCGAUGCAGAUGACCGCUGCAAGUCCCUGCUCCAAGGAUCAACACCGGCUGCCCUCCGACCGAAAGCAAGAGAGAGCGAGCCUGUCCUGGACCCCAGACCAAAUAUCACACGCUCUCGAAUGCACCUGCGACCACUUGGGCGUGGUCAGCGCCACAGAUGAGGCUGAGUGGACCUCUCCUACAAAGGCCUGGGUCAGGUACUCACGGAGGGUGUCAUGAGGCAGCGCUGAGCAGGGGCUGGCAUGCAAG
RNAcentral lists this long non-coding RNA (700 nucleotides) under Cricetulus griseus (Chinese hamster). RNAcentral's name for it is "lncRNA (ENSCGRG00015040639.1)". Lineage: Eukaryota; Metazoa; Chordata; Mammalia; Rodentia; Cricetidae. The record is from RNAcentral.